Molecule: long non-coding RNA, 401 nt
Filed under: Marmota monax (woodchuck)
Lineage: Eukaryota; Metazoa; Chordata; Mammalia; Rodentia; Sciuridae
Source: RNAcentral
UUUAUAUUGUUUUCCUAGUAUUGAUUGUGUGAAACAUUAAAGACUUGAAGUUGAUAAAUUGUUUUGCAAGUUCCAGUUUUACAUGUCUUCAUAAAUCAUUUCCAGUAGCUGUCUGGUUCAGUGAUUUAUCCUCUUGGGGUGCUGUAGGACAUGAUUUGUGACUCUGGCCAUUCCUUAUCACUACUUAGUGCACUUUCAGUCAACUUGCCAACAUAGGUAUCCUUGCCCUAAAACUACUAGAUUUGCCGUUGUAAUGUUUUUAGAUGAAGGUCUGCACACUUUUUUCUGUACAUCUAACCUUUACCCUUGCUCAUAGUUCAUCCUGUCAAGCUUUGAGACAGAAAAGCAAUGGCUUUGAUAUUCACAAGAGUCCAUCCUGUCUUAAAAUCAAUACUGCUGCC